Molecule: ribosomal RNA, 440 nt
Filed under: uncultured bacterium
Lineage: Bacteria
Description: bacterial SSU rRNA
Rfam family: Bacterial small subunit ribosomal RNA
Source: RNAcentral
GCAUAACGCGAAGAACCUUACCAAGGCUUGACAUCCCCUUGACCGGCACAGAGAUGUGCCCUCUCCUUCGGGAGCAAGGGUGACAGGUGGUGCAUGGUUGUCGUCAGCUCGUGUCGUGAGAUGUUGGGUUAAGUCCCGCAACGAGCGCAACCCUUAUCCUUAGUUGCCAGCAUUAACGGUGGGCACUCUAAGGAGACUGCCGAUGAUAAAUCGGAGGAAGGUGGGGAUGACGUCAAAUCAUCAUGCCCCUUAUGUCUUGGGCUACACACGUGCUACAAUGGUCGGUACAACGGGCAGCGAAGGAGUGAUCCGGAGCGAAUCCCAAUAAACCGAUCCCAGUUCGGAUUGUAGGCUGCAACUCGCCUACAUGAAGUCGGAGUUGCUAGUAAUCGCGAAUCAGAACGUCGCGGUGAAUGCGUUCCCGGGUCUUGUACACACCG